UUGCGCUCCGUGAUGACUCUGGAUAACUUCACUGAUCGCAGUCGGCCUUGCGCCGGCGACGGAUCUUUCAAAUGUCUGCCCUAUCAAUUUUCGAUGGUAGGUGACCUGCCUACCAUGGUUCUAACGGGUAACGGGGAAUCGGGGUUCGAUUCCGGAGAGGGAGCCUGAGAAACGGCUACCACUUCCAAGGAAGGCAGCAGGCACGCAAAUUACCCAAUCCCGGCACGGGGAGGUAGUGACGAAAAAUACGAAUACGGGACUCAAUUGAGGCUCCGUAAUUCGAAUGAGUACAAUUUAAAUCCUUUAACGAGGAUCAACUGGAGGGCAAGUCUGGUGCCAGCAGCCGCGGUAACUCCAGCUCCAGAAGCGUAUAUUAAAGUUGUUGCAGUUAAAAAGCUCGUAGUUGGAUCUGGGUCGCAUGGCUACAUGCCGUCGCUCGUGAACCUGUCCUGGUUACUGCUGGGGCAGGCUUGCGAGUCGGUCUAGUGGUUGUGCUUCCUUUCUGCUGUGUCUGUUUACAGGUGUCAGCGUGAUUGGUGGAUUUUCCCGCCGGUCCGUUGGCAUGCUUCUUGAUGCCUUUAAACGGG
This 587-nucleotide ribosomal RNA is filed under the name Cyclocoelum mutabile. RNAcentral describes it as "SSU rRNA". It matches the Rfam family "Eukaryotic small subunit ribosomal RNA", at positions 234 to 759 of the family's 1831-position model. The record is from RNAcentral. Lineage: Eukaryota; Metazoa; Platyhelminthes; Trematoda; Plagiorchiida; Cyclocoelidae.